This 398-nucleotide long non-coding RNA is filed under the name Fukomys damarensis (Damara mole-rat). Its description in RNAcentral is "lncRNA (ENSFDAG00000028520.1)". Lineage: Eukaryota; Metazoa; Chordata; Mammalia; Rodentia; Bathyergidae. The record is from RNAcentral.
GGGUGGGAUGACAAAGCCUCGGGAGCCAGGGAGUUGCUGUGAAGACUUCCACUGGAGAGCUCGUUAAUGAGAAGCAGCUAAGUGCAGAGUCAAAUGCCUGUGCCAUGCCGCUGCCCGUCUUCGGAGCAGAGCUGAGCUGCGUCGGCUGCUCUGCCCGUGAUCUCCCCUGUCCCUGCCUGUCCCCAGACAUUCCGUCUUUGGGCACCCGAAAAGCCAGAGUUGCAACCAAGUGCAUCUGUCAGAUACUGGGUCUCGCUCGACCUCCAGAACCUAUGACUGGCACCACUGUCUUCUGCGGUCUGUGUGGAGGGACUCGGCACUGGCUUUGGGGGCAGUGUCAAUGAGGGAUCAAGCUCGGUGAAACAAAAAUCCAGAAGCGUGGUUCAUUAAAAUCCGCC